CCCGUCACAUCACGAAAGUGGAUUGUACUAGAAGUCUGCACGCCAACCCGCAAGGGAGGCAGCGGCCCAAGGUAUGAUUCAUGAUUGGGGUG
This 92-nucleotide ribosomal RNA is filed under the name uncultured bacterium. RNAcentral's name for it is "partial 16S ribosomal RNA". It matches the Rfam family "Bacterial small subunit ribosomal RNA", at positions 1393 to 1482 of the family's 1533-position model. The record is from RNAcentral.